This 468-nucleotide ribosomal RNA is filed under the name uncultured bacterium. Its description in RNAcentral is "partial 16S ribosomal RNA". It matches the Rfam family "Bacterial small subunit ribosomal RNA", at positions 28 to 507 of the family's 1533-position model. The record is from RNAcentral.
GAUGAACGCUGGCGGCGUGCUUAACACAUGCAAGUCGAACGGUGAAGGCGGAGCUUGCUCUGCUGGAUCAGUGGCGAACGGGUGAGUAACACGUGAGCAAUCUGCCCCUGACUCUGGGAUAAGCGCUGGAAACGGCGUCUAAUACUGGAUACGAGCUGCGAGGGCAUCUUCAGCAGCUGGAAAGAACUUCGGUCAGGGAUGAGCUCGCGGCCUAUCAGCUUGUUGGUGAGGUAACGGCUCACCAAGGCGUCGACGGGUAGCCGGCCUGAGAGGGUGACCGGCCACACUGGGACUGAGACACGGCCCAGACUCCUACGGGAGGCAGCAGUGGGGAAUAUUGCACAAUGGGCGAAAGCCUGAUGCAGCAACGCCGCGUGAGGGACGACGGCCUUCGGGUUGUAAACCUCUUUUAGCAGGGAAGAAGCGAAAGUGACGGUACCUGCAGAAAAAGCGCCGGCUAACUACGUG